UCCCGGCUAGCUCAGUCGGUAGAGCGACAGACUCUUAAUAAGUCUUGGUGAACCAUUCAUCAUCUGUAGGUCGAGGGUUCGAGCCCCUCGUUGGGAG
Non-coding RNA from Tilletiopsis washingtonensis, 97 nucleotides. The record is from the annotation of a RefSeq genome assembly. Lineage: Eukaryota; Fungi; Basidiomycota; Exobasidiomycetes; Entylomatales.